Molecule: long non-coding RNA, 865 nt
Filed under: Pan paniscus (pygmy chimpanzee)
Lineage: Eukaryota; Metazoa; Chordata; Mammalia; Primates; Hominidae
Description: lncRNA (ENSPPAG00000044861.1)
Source: RNAcentral
AGCUGCUUGAAGAUAUAUGAGGCUAAUUGAGCUUGUGCAUUUGUUGGCUAUUGCUGCUACAGUGGAUGCUGUUGUUCAGUAUUCAGAUAUCAAGAAACAACUAGCCAAAGUAAGGAGGAACGAGGGGCCCAUGAAGCUCAGUAGAGCUUGUGAUAAUAUUUGCAAGAGAAGACUGCCUACCAAACUAACUUCAGAAAAGCAACCCGUAUUCCAGCAGAAGAGCAGCCAUCACUCAACUGCCCCCCAGGGACUGCUAUGAGCCAGCUAAGACAAUCAACAUUUUUACUUUAAAGUUACACCUUGAUUCAGUCUCAGAAACGUGAAAUAAAAUGUGGUAAGCUGUUUUACUUAUUAGAUAUCACUCCAAAUGAUUUCAGUUAUUUACAAUUUUUUAAAAAUCACCUUCAUGAUUGAAAAAUUUGGUGAAAAAUGUCCUCCACUGAAGACAUCAUUCAGAUCCAGAAGGCAUUAAGCAGAAGUACCAUCAUCUAGAUAUUAAAGGCCCCAAAGUACUAAGUUAGAAUUACUAAGCUAUUUCAUGUAAAUAUGGAUUUUUUUCUUUUUUUGCCCAAAUUAUCCAGGCAAUUUACUUGUUUUCUUCUGUAGCACAUAGUGUGUUAUGGCUUUGUCAUGGUUAGUGCAUCUUACCAGGUAUGCAGUUUUUUCUGCAUUGUAGUUUAAAAAGUAACCACAUAAAUUAUAUAGCAAAAAGGCUCACAUCUGCUAGGAGCAUGACAGAUGCACAAACUUAAAUUGGAGUUCCUGUCAAAGUCUAUGCUGUCAUGUUCAUGGACAUAACAUUGAUCCUGGAUUCCUGUGGCCACUAACUAAGGCUGGGAGCAGAAGAAUUAAAGGUCAAAUGCAC